UUCUUCUGAAAUCCCUCAUCUCACUUUUCGAGUUGUACAUCUCAAAUCUGUUGGAACAGAUUCAACCUGAUUAUUUCUCCAUCCAUCCCAUAAUUGAAACUACAAAUAUCGUGUAUUAAAUUAGGUGUCAUAUGUGAUUCGAAUCCAAGGGUUUUCGUGAUUAGGUAUGAGACAUGAUUUGAAGCAAGGGUGUUUGUUCCACCGGUCAAGUUUUUCGUGUAUUCUUCAUUAAAAGGAAAUCGAGCUCUCAGAUCUAUAAAUCAGCACCACGAACGCUUCGAUCACUUACCUCUUCAUCUAAAUGCUCAUCUCUUUCGAAUGAAGGCAAUAGAGGAGUCAAAUUGGUGGCGGAUUCUGGUAUUAUUGUUGAUGUUGCUCAUAAGGUUUUGAGGCGCUAAUAGGAGCGGUUGGUGGAGUUGACAGUGGUACUGUAACAGCAAGACCGAUGAAAUCAGGGUGGAGGUGCGAACUAUGAAGAAGUUCUUGAAUUGGUACUUGUAGAGGAAAAUGUCUCAUACUGAAACCCAUCAAAUGCACCGAUGUUGUGGAUAUAAAGAGAAAAUUGAGAAGAUGGGAACUGUCUGUUUCUUUCCACUAUCAAAUCUUGGGUGGUAUUCCUGCUCCUUCAAACUUUGGAGACGAUUGGAAACGCCGUACUCAGGGGUGUACCCUUUGUUUAUCUUGUGCUUCCCAUGGGAUUUAUCUUGGGUUUUGCUUGCUGACAGAUGUUGGGUGGUAUUCCUGCUCCUUCAAACUUUGGAGAAGAUUGGAAACGUCGUGCUCAGGGGUGUGUUGUACUUUACAAACACCAGUUACAUUAGUUACAUUCUAGCAGUUUAGAAGCGGAAAACAAGUGUAUGAAACUCUUUUUUGGUUUCUUUAUACUUGUGUGUUUGGGGGAGGCUACAAAUGUCUGUUUUCUUCCAGAAUGCGUAUGUUAUAUAUUUCGCCACAUGGCAAAAGAGCUGACUGCGAUGUUGGACCAUGGCGAGGCGCAGCCAGCUGUUAGCUGUACCGGUGAUAAUGGUUCCGUGUCUUACCUUGAACAACUCAUCUCUACCAUUUAUGAGACAAUGGUUAGGGAAACUUCUAUACUCAACAAUAGGAAAACUGUCCACUCAGAUUGGAGGAAUUAGGACGACUUCAAUGAGUAUUUCUGGUCACCUACUUGCUUUGAGCUAAAUUGGCCACUGAAGAAGGAUCGUUCAUUUCUGUCGCACCCUAAAGGGUGGAAAAGGGUAAAAGAAACCCAUUUCUAUGUAAUCUCCUUGUCUUGUAAUUAUUUCUGGGUGCUCAGUUUUUUUCUUGAAUUCUCGCUAACACUAAAAGUAGUUUGGAGCACUGGACAUUUCUUCACCUUUACCGAAGUUUUCAUCGAUUACAGGCAUGGUUGGUCCUGAUGUUUCAGGUUUGACAUAUCAAUUGAUAGAUAGUUGAUCGAAAGUUCCAUAUUUACUAUUCAAUGGUUUGGAAAUAGAUGCGUGCUUGUUUCCAUAUCGACAGAGUCUGACAAUUAUAGCUUUCAAUGACGGAAUGGACCACGAUACUUUCAAAGAAGUACUCAGUAAUGGACCAACAUUUGCUGUCAUGUGCUGUCGUGUGCUUUAAUUCUUCUUUAUUUUGGCUAUUACAUAGUUUUGUUUCUGAAUGUAACUUGCUUUUCUGGGUAUGUCAUUGAUAAUAGGUGGGGAUUGAGAAACAUAGAUAAUGGACUAGCAUUGCUCCGACUCAGAUAAUCACAAGAACCUAUCUGAGCAUCAUUCCUUGUUACCAUUUAGUUGUUAUUAGUUUCUCUAAGUCUCGUUGCAAAUCGUAUAAAGUUCUAAGGUUAUAGAUCGGCAUUCAGGAUUUAAACUCGGGUCAGCGAAAAUACAUCAGAAGCAGAAGUGAAGAAGUAGGAUGCCGUAAAGUUAACUUCUAAAGUUCAAGGACUAAUUGUGCUGAAAACAACCCAGGGGUUACUUGUUGAAGAUGGAUUCGAUUAUAUGAAAGUGGCAUUUGUAAGGGAUAUCAAAGCUCAACAAAGAAGUUUGAGAGAUGGGGACUGAGAAACCCAGAUAAUGGACAGGCUCCGCUCGGACUCAGGUUUUAAACUUGGGUUUGCAAAACAUACAGCAGAAGCAAUAGUGAUCUCCAAGGAAGCAUUGGUAUUUGGUUUUGGAAUCUCCAAUAAUAUCAGACCCCAACAAGAAUGCUUAUAGAUCCAUUUGUCUUCACUGGAACCACGAAUGAAGCUCCUUCAAUUUCGACAACUGUUGGAUAUGAUGAGUAUCGGGAUGGAGAUAUUCGGUAAUAAUGCUGGUUUUAACACAUGUUUAGUGGCUUUUCUUGUAAGAUUACAUUGGUCAGAACUCCAGAUUUCAAUCUUUUUUGUGUAACUUGAAACCAAUGAAUCAUUGAAUGUUAAAUUGAAUGAUUAUUUGUGUGCAAGUUUAAUUUGAUUCUCAUUUUCAUUUGAUUUGAA
Molecule: long non-coding RNA, 2464 nt
Organism: Papaver somniferum (opium poppy)
Lineage: Eukaryota; Viridiplantae; Streptophyta; Magnoliopsida; Ranunculales; Papaveraceae
Exons: 11
Source: RefSeq, a predicted model, not a curated record